UAAUUUGUUCACAGGACAGUCCUGCUAUUCCUCAAGAAGAUACAUGCUGAGUGUUGAUCGGCACCUCGUCAGCACAAACAUAUCCUCCUUCAUUUCUGCACUGUGCCUCAUGUUCGGGAGCUACUACAAUUUCAACAUCCAUUAUCCAUCUGAGCUGGCUUCCACUUUAGAGUUUCUUCAGAGGUGUUUCUUCUCCAUAAACCCAGAAAAAGGAACCAAAGUAGAGAACAAAAACUCAAAGCGUCGUCUCAGUGUGAACCCUCGAGUCCUCACCCUGAUUCAGGAUCUCGCCGACCACGAGUGGCGCUAAGCCUAAAUCUUGACUCUCUGUGGACUGUUAGUUUUACUUUGUUAAUUUUGUUCCACAAUGUGUACUGGAACCUUUUACUGGUCGAAUGCAUGAAGCCAAUUCAUGAAGAUGUUCUUUCUUUGUAGGAAUGUUCUUUAUUUACAUAAGAAAAGAAAAAAAACAACAUGCUGCUACUGCAGUGUUUCUAGACCACAUGUGUAGGUUUGUUUCACCACGUGGUUUUGCUGAUGUUUUCUGACCAGGGCCAUGGUUGUGGUGACAGCAGGGUGCGUGUUGCGUUGCACGGUGAUUAUGAUCAUUUUUGACACAAUAUGUGUUUUUUGUUUUAAAGUCUUAACAGGUUAGUUAACUUUUUCUGGUGGAGGGUCUAACAAAUGCUUGUUUCAUGAACAUGGUUCUUGCUUUGCAGGAAUGUUCCACAGCUUUUAUAGCCUAUAUUUUGAUUGAAUUGUGUAGUUGCUGUGUGCCUUGCAUAUUGUGUUAGUUGGAAAAAUGGAUCCAUUUGCUGUCAUUUUGCUAAUGUGGCUGCAAAAUAAAUUUCCCAAAAGUGA
This is a non-coding RNA of Maylandia zebra (zebra mbuna), 861 nucleotides long. Lineage: Eukaryota; Metazoa; Chordata; Actinopteri; Cichliformes; Cichlidae. The record is from RefSeq and is a predicted model, not a curated record.